RNAcentral lists this ribosomal RNA (762 nucleotides) under uncultured Halobacteria archaeon. RNAcentral's name for it is "bacterial SSU rRNA". It matches the Rfam family "Archaeal small subunit ribosomal RNA", at positions 519 to 1278 of the family's 1478-position model. Lineage: Archaea; Methanobacteriati; Methanobacteriota; Halobacteria. The record is from RNAcentral.
CCGUAGCUGGCCGCGCAAGUUCGUCGGGAAAUCCACUCGCUUAACGAGUGGGCGUCCGGCGAAAACUGUGCGGCUUGGGACCGGAAGAUCCAAGGGGUACGUCCGGGGUAGGAGUGAAAUCCCGUAAUCCUGGACGGACCACCGAUGGCGAAAGCACCUUGGAAGGACGGAUCCGACAGUGAGGGACGAAAGCUAGGGUCUCGAACCGGAUUAGAUACCCGGGUAGUCCUAGCCGUAAACGAUGCUCGCUAGGUGUGGCGCAGGCUACGAGCCUGCGCUGUGCCGUAGGGAAGCCGUGAAGCGAGCCGCCUGGGAAGUACGUCUGCAAGGAUGAAACUUAAAGGAAUUGGCGGGGGAGCACUACAACCGGAGGAGCCUGCGGUUUAAUUGGACUCAACGCCGGACAUCUCACCAGCUCCGACAGCAGUAAUGACGGUCAGGUUGAUGACCUUACCCGACGCUGCUGAGAGGAGGUGCAUGGCCGCCGUCAGCUCGUACCGUGAGGCGUCCUGUUAAGUCAGGCAACGAGCGAGACCCGCACCUCUAGUUGCCAGCAGCAUCUUGCGAUGGCUGGGUACACUAGGGGGACUGCCGUCGCUAAGACGGAGGAAGGAACGGGCAACGGUAGGUCAGUAUGCCCCGAAUGAGCUGGGCUACACGCGGGCUACAAUGGUCGAGACAGUGGGAUGCGACACCGAGAGGUGGAGCUAAUCUCCUAAACUCGAUCAUAGUUCGGAUUGCGGGCUGAAACCCGCCCGCAUG